This 468-nucleotide ribosomal RNA is filed under the name uncultured bacterium. Its description in RNAcentral is "partial 16S ribosomal RNA". It matches the Rfam family "Bacterial small subunit ribosomal RNA", at positions 28 to 507 of the family's 1533-position model. The record is from RNAcentral.
GACGAACGCUGGCGGCGUGCUUAACACAUGCAAGUCGAACGGAAAGGCCCUGCUUUUGCGGGGUGCUCGAGUGGCGAACGGGUGAGUAACACGUGAGUAACCUGCCCUUGUCUUUGGGAUAACUUCAGGAAACUGGGGCUCAUACCGGAUAGGAGCUCCUGCUGCAUGGUGGGGGAUGGAGAGUUUCGGCGGUUGGGGCUGGACUAGCGGCUUAUCAGCUUGAUGGUGGGGUAGUGGCUUACCAAGGCUUUGACGGGUAGCCGGCCUGAGAGGGUGACCGGCCUCAUGGGGACUGAGAUACGGACCAGACUCGUACGGGAGGCAGCAGUGGGGAAUAUUGCACAAUGGGCGGAAGCCUGAUGCAGCAACGCCGCGUGCGGGAUGACGGCCUUCGGGUUGUAAACCGCUUUCGCCUGUGACGAAGCGUGAGUGACGGUAAUGGGUAAAGAAGCACCGGCUAACUACGUG